This 294-nucleotide ribosomal RNA is filed under the name uncultured bacterium. RNAcentral describes it as "partial 16S ribosomal RNA". It matches the Rfam family "Bacterial small subunit ribosomal RNA", at positions 775 to 1066 of the family's 1533-position model. The record is from RNAcentral.
GGAUUAGAUACCCUGGUAGUCCACGCCCUAAACUAUGGAUACUAGACGUAAGAGGUAUCGACCCCUCUUGUGUCGCAGCUAACGCAUUAAGUAUCCCGCCUGGGGAGUACGGCCGCAAGGUUGAAACUCAAAUGAAUUGACGGGGACCCGCACAAGCGGUGGAGCAUGUGGAUUAAUUCGAUACUAACCGAAGAACCUUACCCAGGUUUGACAUCGAUCGCAACUCCCUGAAAGGGGAGCCUCUCCACAAGAGACGUGAAGACACUUGUUGCAUGGCUGUCGUCAGCUCGUGCC